RNAcentral lists this ribosomal RNA (490 nucleotides) under uncultured bacterium. RNAcentral's name for it is "partial 16S ribosomal RNA". It matches the Rfam family "Bacterial small subunit ribosomal RNA", at positions 30 to 507 of the family's 1533-position model. The record is from RNAcentral.
AUUGAACGCUGGCGGCAGGCCUAACACAUGCAAGUCGAACGGUAACAGGAAGAAGCUUGCUUCUUUGCUGACGAGUGGCGGACGGGUGAGUAAUGUCUGGGAAACUGCCUGAUGGAGGGGGAUAACUACUGGAAACGGUGGCUAAUACCGCAUAACGUCGCAAGACCAAAGAGGGGGACCUUCGGGCCUCUUGCCAUCGGAUGUGCCCAGAUGGGAUUGGCUAGUAGGUGGGGUAACGGCUCACCUAGGCGACGAUCCCUAGCUGGUCUGAGAGGAUGACCAGCCACACUGGAACUGAGACACGGUCCAGACUCCUACGGGAGGCAGCAGUGGGGAAUAUUGCACAAUGGGCGCAAGCCUGAUGCAGCCAUGCCGCGUGUAUGAAGAAGGCCUUCGGGUUGUAAAGUACUUUCAGCGGGGAGGAAGGGAGUAAAGUUAAUACCUUUGCUCAUUGACGUUACCCGCAGAAGAAGCACCGGCUAACUCCGUG